Molecule: long non-coding RNA, 1829 nt
Organism: Aegilops tauschii subsp. strangulata
Lineage: Eukaryota; Viridiplantae; Streptophyta; Magnoliopsida; Poales; Poaceae
Source: RefSeq, a predicted model, not a curated record
GAACUUUACAAAACACUUAGAAAAUAAAGAAAGAAAAUAAAAUGAGAAAAAUUCAGGGGAAAUAGAAAAAUAACUAAUAAUUAGGUGAAAUUGUGAGUAUGCAUGGUUUUCUUGAAUACUUUUAUUGUGUUCCAUUGUUUUCUUGAAUAUUGUUGCCAAGCUCCAAUCUUUUCCAGAGUAUUUAUAAUUAUUGUUCAUUUUACAUUCCUAGGAUCAUUAGUAAUUUAACUAGAUAUGUGACUGCUUAACUUUUAGAUAUUCAUCUGUGGAUUUGAUUGAUAUUUUUGUUCUAAUUUUGCAGCGGUUGAAACCGCGCCAUGUCACCAUAAAAGCAAUUGUGUGGAUCUCCAGGACAAAUAUAGACGGUUUUGAAACUCAAGAGACCAACUUUGAACUAAGUAGAGUUUCCUUUUUCCUCGCAAAAAAAGUAGAGUUUCCUUUUAUUUUGCCGAUAGUUGAGGAAGUGCAUUUCUUAUUUUGUUUGCUUUUGGAUGAGGGAGGAUUUAAUUAGUAAAUAAUUGCCUCAUCGCAAGCUCAAGUAAAUGGUGGGAACAUCAUUUUUAUUUGUACAAGAAAAAAAAGUUCAGAGUUAUUUUUCUUUCUUUCUCAGGGGCAGGGCAGGGGACACUGGGACAUUUUUUUUUGAGGGUUAGACAUUUUUUUUAAAGAUCAGGCAGGGGAUAGCCAGAAAUGUACUUGGAAGCCCAUUCGACAAAGUAGGCCUUCAACCAUAGGAAUAGAUAGGCCCAUAUACCAUUCCUAAAAAAGAGAUAGGCCCAUACUCUCACGGGUGUUCGGCCAGUCGGCCGGCCGGUUGAAUGCUGCCUCCGGCGAUCGCCGGCGUCCGAGCCUCAGAUGUCGCCGACCGUUGAUUGGAGACGAAAUGCCUCGCCUGCCAGCACUAUGUGAUCCGGCCGCAGUGCAGGCGUGCAGGCAACGAAUUAAUGAUCAAAGGAGAGAAAAAUAUAGCUUGGCCAAGUCACGACAGCUAAAAAAUCACGAUGAGGCAUUUCAGCAUACUUCAAUGAUGAUAUUCUUGGAUAUCGCCGGGAAACAUGGUGCUACUGUGGAUACCCUCAUCGUUAAACGGGGCUGUAUAGUCAGAUGUGUAUACAUGUGACAUGCUGUAAUCCUGAGAAGAUUGCAUGGAAGUACAGGUCAUAAGGUCAUUGCCGAAGUAGCUUUCGCCCUCACUCUUUACAGCGGGGCAUAAUUCUGCUGGCCGUGGCAUCCUAGCUUCCCCUUUCUGCUAAUUAAGUUCACCAGGCCUCCACCCAACCGAGUGAAGUGGAUAGUAGGUCCAGAAAAGUGGAGGCAGCCUUACAGAGCUCAGUGUGUGAUCAUUGUAAAGUUUAGUUAGUGCAAGUGCAAACCUCUUGCAACCAGGUACACAUCCUUGAUGUUGCAACCAGGUAUCUAAAGUUACAUUCCAGUGGCUGAGAUGCAGAGAGUUGUUGGGUGUAGUUUCUUCUAUUUGUAUGCUCGCCGUGGAGAUGGAUCCUCUAUGUAGCAUGCACUGUCAGCUAUGUAGUGCACUUGUAGGAAUUAAUCACUUUUUUGCUAAAUUCAUCCGCCGAUUGAUCUUGCUAGCACUUUAGUGUGUACUCAUGCUGUAUCAGCAUUUAGAAGCUCAGUUCUGACCAAUGAACGUUGAAUGAAUCCCAUCAGAAGUCUGGCCUGGGAGUUGGGAAGAAGUUCCUGUAAGCUGAACCGAAUUGCACCUGCCUUAGCCCUGGUUCUAUUUGCUACUGCUUACAUACAUGGCUGGGUUUCGGUGCUUCUUUGCCUUCUUUGAUGAGAAAUAAAAUGGCUCGCUUGUUCCUGCUGGA